GGAGCAGUCAGGGCGCUGGUUGCUGUGAAGAGGGCGGAGGGGCGGGGGCGAGGGCGGUGCAGGCGGAAGGACGAGCCGGGAAGAGCGGAAAAAUCGGCCGAUGGUGCCGCUGCCUCAGUUCUGCCCGCUUCUGUAGCCUCCUUGCUGGGUACAGCGGAGCAGAAAAAGCCUUAAUGUUCCCUCCCACUCCCCCAGUAAGAAGCUAGCGCUGAAACGUGGGAGGCGUGGUAGCCACCGACAUUUAAUGCCUCUCUCCCGCUCGAUUUCUGAAGGUUCUGCGGCCUGGAGACGGCAUCGCGGGCACGCUUCAACUGUAGGGGACGGUAUUCUGAACAGGCAAGAGCCUGUGACUCGGGGGUGGUCCCUCCGCACCUUCAGAUGAGAAGCUGAAGACAUACAGCUCCAGCCUGACGUCCGUGGGGGGUACACCAAAGCCCCCGAUGUGGCCAGAGGUAACCCAAUAGGCUCCCCCGUUACGCCAGAUUAUCCCUGGAGAAUUCACUCUCCACCACGUGAAAGGAAGAGACGAAAAGUUUGGGGACUCGAUAUAAGUCGGGAAGAAGCAGCUGGUCAGCUCUUUGCAUGCUUUGAGUCUAAUUACACAGAGCACAAAUCCAUUGCCCAUGAAGAAAAGGAACACUAGAAUGAGCCCUCUGAAAAAACCCAGUCUGAGUUCCUGGAAGGAAGGACACAGUGUCUCAUUGGAUUGUGCAGCCUCAGAGCCUAGUUCAGUGUCUGGCUCAUAUUUAUAUAUCAGCUGCACAGUUACAUAACACAAAAGGAAUUGGCCAUGGGGGCCGGGGUUAAUCCCUGUGCCUGAAGAGUGUCAUAUUGAAAGAAGCCUGAUUCAAUAGCCUAAGCUGUUUGGAAGCUUUUGUUCACCAAAUGCCUGCGAUUCUCCCAACACACCAUUCUCGUGGUACUCCAAGUGCAGAGGAUUGAGUGGAUCAGGUCCCUCAGCUCAUUGCAUCCUGUACUAUCAUCAUCACUUGUCCAUUCAGGGUCUCUCUCUUAAUUUAUUUAUUGCUUUCAUCCCCAUAACCACUUCCCGUAAUAGGCAAUCGUUCUAAUGUUUUUAACAUGUGUCUCCUAUUUUGUCCCCUGUUCACUUAGUCGUGAUGUCUCUGGUUGAACAAAAGUCCUUAAAUUUAAUGUAAUCAGACCCACCAACUUUGGGCCUUAUGGCUGGUGCUUUUGAAGUUAAAAACUUUUUUCCUGCCACAAAGGCGAGAGUCUACAUCUUCAAUAAACUUCAUAGCAUUACCUUUCACUUUUGGGCCCUUUAUCCAUUUGGAAUCUAUCUUUCGUGUGUAGUGUUGAGAUCUAUCUGUAUUUAUCUAGUUAACCAGGUUCCCAGAACCAUCUGUUAAGCCAUUCUUUUC
This 1382-nucleotide long non-coding RNA is filed under the name Equus caballus (horse). Its description in RNAcentral is "lncRNA (ENSECAG00000045357.1)". The record is from RNAcentral. Lineage: Eukaryota; Metazoa; Chordata; Mammalia; Perissodactyla; Equidae.